GGUUGUGGCUCAGUGGUAGAGUGCUCGUCUCGCACGUAUGAGACCUGGGUUCUAGCCUUAGCACCA
This 66-nucleotide transfer RNA is filed under the name Marmota monax (woodchuck). RNAcentral describes it as "tRNA.Ala". Lineage: Eukaryota; Metazoa; Chordata; Mammalia; Rodentia; Sciuridae. The record is from RNAcentral.